RNAcentral lists this long non-coding RNA (250 nucleotides) under Lathyrus oleraceus (garden pea). RNAcentral describes it as "Pisum sativum (pea) long non-coding RNA (PSAT_LNC022562)". The record is from RNAcentral. Lineage: Eukaryota; Viridiplantae; Streptophyta; Magnoliopsida; Fabales; Fabaceae.
GCAUAUCAUGACUCUCAUUUGCCAUUAAUAUCCCCAUAGAAUAUCUCAAUAAAUCCCAACAGAUGAACCUCCAAAAUUCAAACUGCCAUCUCUAUAUUUCAUAUAACUGUUCUCAACGGGAAGAGUUUUGGAUACGUUAGUAUUGAAUCCUCUUCUACCUUGAAUACCUGAAAAGCUUUUUCAAUUCCCGUAUUCUGGUUCAAGAAGAUUAAAUAGGGGCGGCUGUUGUACCCCAAAAUUUUCCCUCCCC